CAAAAACAAGAGACGGUCUUCUUUGUUGGUCCAUCAUUGUAUAGCAGCUACGGCACGUGGAAUAUUUUUGCACCAUGUAAAACGUUCUGCUACCAACUGGAGGAAAAGCUAAUUAUAGUGGGGAAUAAGCGCAAUAAGAAUUGGAGGAUGGUGGAAAUUGUUCGUGACUCAGGUCAGUUUUAUAAGUUAGCUCCGUGUUGUUAAAUGUGCUCCACCCGUAGCCAUCAUUGGCAAGGCAGCGCGUUUUCAGGCGAAUUCACCCUGGAAUAGGGCACAUUAGCAAAGCAGAACCGAGAGCCGCUUCUGAAACGCGCCGCGCCUCGUCUGGCGGAAUCACAAGCAUUAUAGAGUGGCCGCGAUCAGCUAGCUACGGUGACCGCGUUGGAGCCCGAACGCGCGGCAGAUGCGCCCUGUGAAAUCUAGUUACCAGACCCACUCUCAGGAUGGUAGCGGCGUGCGUGUUUCCGGCGGAGGACAUCAACACUGAAAGCCAGCAGCGAGCAUGGAGGAGGGGCCCACUCCCGACCCGGAGUUCGUGGAUGUGGACCAGGGCAUGACGCUGGCCUGCGUGGCCUUCCUCUGCCUCCUCCUGGUGGCCAUGAUCAUCCGCUGUGCCCGGGUCAUCAUGGACCCCUACAGCGCCAUACCGACCUCCACCUGGGAGGAGCAGCAUCUGGACGACUAGGGCACCGGCUGGACAUACCAAGGAACACGUGGUGGUGCGAGGGUGCAGAUUCCCUCAGAGUAACGCGAGCGUGGGUCAAGACAGGCAUACAAAUGGACGCAUACGAACAUACUCGUGUAGGCACGUUUAGGGCCUUGUUUAUGUUACACUAUAAUGAACCCGAGACUCAAGACGCUAGAUUAUAAUGUUGUGUAAACUUGCAGGUCCACAGCUCAUGACGCCACCAUCCGAGGUAGCGUGCACAAGAAUUCCCAUAGAGAAUGCCUGGAGUUUUGCCAGUUUGAGGAGAUUUGUGUGGGAACUGUAUCGAGUGCAUGUGCAGGGCGCACGCGCGUUGCUUUAUUUUCUGGCGAUUGAUGUUCACAAUCCCGCGUGGUACGUCUCGAACAUGCCGGUGUAAAUUCAAACGCUGUGGAAGUCUGUUUAACGUUUUAUUCUCGCUAUUUAACGUUUUAUUCUCGCUAUUUAACGUUUUAUUCUCGCUGUUCUCACAACAUGCCCACAGGGUUAUACACACACAUUCACACAAACAUACACGAGUGGGCGUGAUUAUGCUCCCGAAGAGUUACACUGCCUGACCACACUACCAUUGCCUGGUAUCAGUCAGUUCUUGAGAAGCAGGGUACGUGUGACAUUGGAGAAAGGCAUCCGAUUUUACAGACUGACUCCACCUUCGCCCUGCAGACUGUUUUCUGCACAUGCUUGGUGAGACUGGUGAUGAUGAAGAUGACCAUGAUGAUGAUAAGGAUGUUGAAGAGGAGGACAUUAUUUGGUCCUUUAAGAAUUUUUACAGUUGAUCACAAUUCAUCUUACAAAAGCAUCUCAUGAUUUGUACUUUUUGUAAGGAAUCUGAACAAUGACUUUGUCUACGUAUUGACUUGCUUCUGCUCUGCCUGUUUCAGCCUGUAAAUGAACAAGGCUCUGAGCAUCUUUAUCCAGUUGUCUUAUCUAAUGUGCAAAAGACGACAGCAUGGCAAAGAAGUGGGGAACCUUUACAGCCUAGACACACACACGCACAUGCACACACACAAACAGACACACCCACACACACACACAGACACACCCACACACACACACAGACACACCCACACACAAACAGACACACCCACACACAAACAGAAACACCCACACACACAAUACCAUGGAAACUCCAGAGCAAGUGCUUGUUUCCAAUAACUUGCUGCUCAAAGACCUAUAAUCACCAGCCUCGUCCCCUUCCAUUCAUAAACAACAAGUAUUUAUUGCUGCUGUCCGUCCAUUAGCUUGAGCACAAAACUCCCACGAUGGUCUAGUAUCUUUCUGUUCUGUCAUGUCUCUAGCCAGUGCAUUUAUAAAUAGCAAAAUGAUUGUCUGACUUGCAUGUUAUGAAGUGCCUCAGCUGACACCACAGAAUAGCCAAUUCUGAUGCCAUUUAGCACAGUAUGGCUGAAUUCCAAAUCAACCUCUAAUUACUAUUCGCUAUCCCCUACCCCCUAGACGAUCCUGUCAAUCUCUUGUAUUAGAUAAAUGCAAGCAAUAGGGUGACUGUUCGUCCGAGCCUGUCUGAAGGUAAUAUGAGGCAAUGCAAUCACCAUAGAUUAUGGUUAGUGAUGACUUUCAUCUAAGGGCUGGAGGGUAAGGAACUAGCUAUGGGGGCUGGUUUGGAUUUCAGCAGGUGAUUGACAAACAUUAACCAGCAAUUUAGAAGCAGGUGACCAGAAUGUGCUCCUUUUAACCUGUCUCUAAUAAAAAAAAUAUAACGAAUUACGAAAACCUUAUUUUAAGACGAGUUCAUUGUCUUUGUAAUUAGCUGUAAAUGAAAACCUAACCGAAUCUAAUCUUUCAUGAUCUUG
This is a long non-coding RNA of Esox lucius (northern pike), 2517 nucleotides long. NCBI's taxonomy places the organism in Eukaryota, Metazoa, Chordata, Actinopteri, Esociformes, Esocidae. The record is from Ensembl.